This 2127-nucleotide long non-coding RNA is filed under the name Equus caballus (horse). RNAcentral's name for it is "lncRNA (ENSECAG00000030128.2)". The record is from RNAcentral. Lineage: Eukaryota; Metazoa; Chordata; Mammalia; Perissodactyla; Equidae.
CAACAGCAACGGCUGGUUUAGCUCCAUGGGAGCAAUGCGUCAGCCCCAAGGCUCACCGCCCACAGGAGUGCCUGCUUCCUCGUAGGGACAUAGAAGCGCCUUUUUCAUAUGUUGGUUGGUUUAUGGUUUGUUCAUUUCCUGUUGUAAGAGGGAAGGAUUCAUAAACGACAACCAGCCCCUGAACUCUGCCUUCUGAAUCCCAAUUCCCAAGCCAACUUGGAGAACGUCCAGCGUCUCUUCUAAUCAAGAACUAUGUGACAUCUCCUAUUUUGAAGAAACUUUGUUAAGUUGAUCAGAUGAUUUACAUGUGAUCACAGAUGUUACAAAAUCUAAAUGCCCCGCCUGGGUCGCCCAGGUUCUUGAAGGACUUCUGAAAAAGCCCCGUGCUCCUUUCCCCCGUGAUCCUGCUCACAUCCUCCCUCCCCACCAGCCCAGUGAGAAAACUCCAUCCCCCCUUCAACUUGACCGACACUUCAGGGGGCUUGGAGAGGUGCCACAGCCGGGAGAGCUCUCUGCACACUUCACAUUAUCAUCAGCGCUCUGCUCACAAGAUUCCCGCCUCACAAGGCUAAAUGUCUCUUGACUCCUAUUGAACCCUGGUGAUGGCAUUUCUGGUCAACACCCAGAGGAGAGAGAGGGACAUAAACUAUCCAGCCUUCGGAGCCAAGGAAAGUGUGAAGAGAUCAGUACCCAGUUUUGGGAAAUGACACCAACAUGGUCCCCAAACCUAGUCUAGACUUCGGAGAAGGGAGAAUCAGAGAAAGUUUCGCAGAGGAGGUGAAAUUUGAAUUGGACCUGAGAAAUAAGGAGUCCUCAAGCCUGAAAGCCAAGGAGAAGAAGAUCAGGAAGAGGAAUCAGCUGGAACCGAGGCCUAGCAGCAUUCUAGACACAGCAGGUUCAAGGAUGGUCUGGCGUUUGGUGUGAUUGGAGCUCAGCUGGAGAAAAACAAAGAACAAAAAACCAAUGAGAACUGUGAGGAAGUAUGGGAAGGGUUUCGAGUAGAGGAGUUGUCAGACCCUGUGAGCAAGCUCCCUCUGGCUGCUGCUGGGCAUGGAUUGUGCGAACAGCGGACGAGUGCCUGCUACAAUAACCCAGAGGAGAGACGAGAGGGCCUUGGACCUGAAAGAAGAGCGGAGUCCAUGUCUGGACAGCACGGAGAGCAGAGGCUGCCAAAGAGACAGCCAACAUCUACAUCACAAAAGAGCCAUGGCCAACGGAGAAAGCGGAAAGAAUGCACACUGCCCUGUACUACGUGGAGAAGGAGCCAGCAAGCAGUAUGAGUGCAACAAGUUUAGACCUAUAAAGCAAAUGUGCAAACUGAAACUCAAGGUGUAGUCUGAAGGAGAGACGAAGAGGAGGUAUGCAGGGAAGGAGGGAGACCGGACAUCCAGGCCCUCAGCCGGCAUUUGCCCCAGAAGGAGGGGAAAACUCAUUACCACUCGACAGCUGCUCCAUCGUCUGUAAAAAGUUAAGGGUUCAAACCUCUUGCCAGUGACCAGAUGUCCCCGGCUUCACGUGUUACGGAGUGGUCAGUAAUUGACUCGCAAGUGUGACGACGACAGUUCAUGUGAGAGAAGCUGCAGGAGGCCCAACCACAGGAGAUUGCCUUAUUGAGAAGAGAGAUCAUACAAACACGUGAAAAGAACCCAAGUCUUCAAACACCAAAAGAAAAAAGUGUUCUGGAAAGAAUUCACAACAUCCUCCCCAAACAUGUCUCAAGCAUACCAGUUUUAUUUCAGCCUGUGUUCAGUUUAUUUUUUUUUAAUUUACUGCAUCCUAUUCUGAAAAUUUAUGUAUUCUUUGGCUGUGCGAACACUCAUAAUUGAGCAUACAAGUUCAUUCCAAAAUUUGGCUCCUUUUUGUUCCUAGGAAAAAGAUUUUUUAGAAAGCAAACCACUAUAAUUUAAUAAAAUGGGUCAACGCUUGGCAGGUUGGCAAAGUCUUUAGAAUUCUUGCUAUAGACAGUAAGGCACAAGUAGCCUGUUUCAUUAUUAUAAAAAAAUAAUGAAUAACUUAGCUGCCUAUAAUUCAUAAAAUAUACCACACUAGAGCAAGUUUUAAUUACACUUGCCAUGUACAGUAUACAUUGCCUUUUAAUGGUUUUUUGAGUAAGUACUCAACUUUAAG